This is a long non-coding RNA of Anopheles gambiae (African malaria mosquito), 493 nucleotides long. RefSeq lists it as uncharacterized. The transcript is spliced from 2 exons. The record is from RefSeq and is a predicted model, not a curated record. Lineage: Eukaryota; Metazoa; Arthropoda; Insecta; Diptera; Culicidae.
UAAUAAAGGGUUAUAUUAAUCUUUAUCAAACUGAAUUGUAUUGAUAAUUGUGAUAUAAAAUCAAUUUCGUUUUUUUUAAAGAAAUCGUAACACACGCACGAACGGAAGUGAGCACGGACCACAACAGAAGCAAUAUUCAAUUGGUUGGAGUGCCGAAAACAGAACAGGAGAGGAAAGAAGGCAGGAACGAUCCGAUCCUCCAACGUGCUAGCGCCUGGUAGAGGAGAAGCGGCAGGAAGGUAGAGACGAACAUCCAGCUCGCUAGUGCAGCACGUGGGAGCAGCAAGAGGGAAGCAAGCAGGACGCGUACACACCAUUCGACGAAGGCAAAGCUGGAGGAAAGGAAGAACGAGGAGAGAAGGCAGGCAAGACGGGUACGUGUGUAUCCCGCACCGGUUUUAGGCAGUGUGAAUUGUGUGAGUAUGUAAAUAUGUAUGUGCGAGUAAGAAGGUAAAAUAAAGAGCGUAAGCAUGUGCAGAAUGGACAAAAGAGA